Molecule: long non-coding RNA, 2630 nt
Organism: Brassica napus (rape)
Lineage: Eukaryota; Viridiplantae; Streptophyta; Magnoliopsida; Brassicales; Brassicaceae
Exons: 4
Source: RefSeq, a predicted model, not a curated record
CGACGACUUCAUUUUUUGGAUUUGGUCGGUAAUCCGUCACAAAUCCGUCACAAAUGUCCGACGACAUUGGUGUCCGUCGGAACCUCCGUCGGAAUUCGGCGUGUUUUCUUGUAGUGCAGGGCCAAAGCUUAAAAGAGGUUAUCCUAUACCUUCCUAGACCGGUCUUCUCACAUGGUCAACUCUACGUGGCCCUCUCACGUGUAACAAGCAAAGCAGGACUAAAAAUCAUCAAAGGCGAAGACUCACACAAACAAAAAGUGAAGAACAUAGUCUACAAAGAAAUCUUCAACCGCCUUCAUCCACAUGAGAGUAAGUAAAAUUCAAAAAUCAGAAUCUAAUGGAAGAUUUCAAAGUGGUUAUCUAUCUAAAAAUUCAUAUCUAUCUACUAUGCAGCACUCGAGGUACCACCAGAAAUGAAUCAGAACUAAAACUCCUUCCGUGAUGAAGGUUACCUCAGUGCUUACAAGUACGUCUCCCUACUUUACUAUCUAAUUAAUUGAUAACUAAUACUAAUCUAUGUUCACUGAUAUAUUUAAAAAUAAAUUGCAGGCUCCCCAACACGGAAACUCCUUCCCUUCCACCACCUACUUCGUCAAAAGUCCACCGUCCUAUUUACGUUUUUUUCUUCUAUGUUUUAAGACAUUAACAUCUGCUCUUAAUAAUGAUAAGGACAAUUUUGCUUCUACGCAUAAUUUAUAACAAACUAAAAUUUUAAAGAGAUUAAGAUUAUUUUUUUUUUACAACUUUAAAUACAUUAUAUUACUCAAACAACCUGAUGUGUUAAUCGAUUUUUGCCUUCAAUAUGACAUACACUGUUUAAUUUAAAAUAAUGUAUUGCAAAUAAUUUCAUACAAAAUAACCCGGGCGUAGCCCGGGACCGCCUCUAGUUAUAUAUAAGAGGGUUUCCUCUCUCCUUAGGAUCCACGUAUGAAAUUCAUUUCAUAGCAUCGCGAGACGUGUCCAGUCUGCAAACCGCAUCGUUUCAUUAAAGAUGGUCCUGUUGGGCUUCAUUCUGAUUCAUGUUUGCUUACGUUUUGGGCUGUUAGCUGCGGCAGCGGCUAGAGAUCAAAAUUCAAGAUGAAAAAAGGAGUAUCCAAAGGGAAAGAGAGAAGAACAGGAGAAGAAAUCUUUUGUUUUCAGUCGUACAGAGGAGUGAGAAAUGAGGAAUAAUGGUCACUACUUUUUUUGGCGUUAGCGGCAACACCGAAAAGCUUCUUUUAUUCUGACGCCGCGUCUCUGUUCAGCGACAACACCGAAAAACUUAUGAACAAAUCUAUGACGCCGCGUCUCUGUUCAGCGUUCGUUAAACGAACAUGGCUAUUAUAUGUUUUUGCGGCCCGAUGGAGAUCGUCUCUCCCCCUUAGAUCUAUGGGGGUGACGCCUGAUCAUAUUAACUACUUUUCACUCAUAAAGACAACCCGGAAACGUUACAGAUGCAUUCAAUUGUUGUCGUUAACGAACUUCUUAACUCCUUCAACUCAUGCCAAGCACGAUUCCCCAUUCCCGUAAAUAUCAUCCUUUCAUAUCUCACAGAAAAUGAUUGAGCUACUGAAAUCUCAUGGCAGUUUAUCUUAUGGAGAUGGGUGAAGUUGUGUCGGUUCGUUUCUGUAGGGAUAUGGCACUUGGAGAUCGCAUUAAUUUGUCAAUUUCACCAGUCUCCAAGAUGGAUGCUGGAAAAGAUGUGUUGGAAAGCUAUUCAAGAGGACUGACGAUGUUCUCUAUGUAGACAAAACCAUGAGAGGUAUUGAAUAAGUUAUAAUAGGUUUUAGACUAUACGUCUACGUUUCUUCUUUUUCUUUCUCUUAUGCCUCCUGUAAAUUAAAUUUAGACUUUUAAAAAUAUGUCAAGCCUGGAAAAAUAUAUUCAGUUUCUUUUACUCAAAUUCUGGAUAUAAUAAGCCAUGUUCAUCAAGAAAGAAGGGAACAACGAUCCAAGCUUCUUUGCUCCUUUGAUUCUCACUUUCCAGAGAUCUUUCCAGAGAUCUCUCAUGAUCAUAAGAAAACAACUAUGCAACAGUAGACCCACUUGAGCUGUCAUCAUCCACUGAACAAUUGUUACGUCCUAGCUAUCAUUCCGUAUGACCCUCUCCUCAGAACUUGGUGCUGCUGGUUUGAUUGAUUUUUAAGCCAACGAGUGGCUCAAAGAUUGCCCCUGUCACUACUGUUUGAAGCAUUGCUUCUUGAUUGACCUGAGCUUAUCCCGUCUUCCAAAAGCGUCCAUGGGUCACCCACAUCCCUGUUGUCUGGUUCUUACUGUUGACACGGGGAGUUUAUUUGAUUGAGCUCAGCAGAAGAUCUCGAGGGUCAAACAAGUGUGACACUACAAGAAAACAUCGUUAUUCUGACGGAAAAUGAGAAAUUUGGGUUUUCUCGUAAUAUACCGAUGAAAUACCGAGGAAAUCAUAUUCCUCGGAAAACACCGACGAAUAUCCGAAGAUAUAUUAUAGCUGUUAGAGAGUCGUUGGAGGAUUUUAAAAUUCCAAAGGAAAGAGCCGUUGCCUCGGAAUUGCCUCAGAAUAUACCGAUGAAAUACCGAGUAAAUCAUAUUCCUCGGAAAACACCGACGAAUAUCCGAGGAUAUAUUAUAGCCGUUAGAGAGCCGUUGGGGGAUUUUAAAAAUUCUGAAGAAAU